UGGCGGACGGGUGAGUAACGCGUGGGUAACCUGCCGUAUACAGGGGGAUAACAGUUAGAAAUGACUGCUAAUACCGCAUAAGCGCACAGAGUCGCAUGACUCGGUGUGAAAAACUCCGGUGGUAUACGAUGGACCCGCGUCUGAUUAGGUAGUUGGCGGGGUAACGGCCCACCAAGCCCGCGAUCAGUAGCCGACCUGAGAGGGUGACCGGCCACAUUGGGACUGAGACACGGCCCAAACUCCUACGGGAGGCAGCAUG
Molecule: ribosomal RNA, 259 nt
Filed under: uncultured bacterium
Lineage: Bacteria
Description: partial 16S ribosomal RNA
Rfam family: Bacterial small subunit ribosomal RNA
Source: RNAcentral